RNAcentral lists this ribosomal RNA (253 nucleotides) under uncultured bacterium. Its description in RNAcentral is "partial 16S ribosomal RNA". It matches the Rfam family "Bacterial small subunit ribosomal RNA", at positions 524 to 776 of the family's 1533-position model. The record is from RNAcentral.
UACGUAGGGUGCGAGCGUUGUCCGGAAUUACUGGGCGUAAAGCGUGCGCAGGCGGUUUUGUAAGCCAGAUGUGAAAUCCCCGGGCUUAACCUGGGAAUGGCAUUUGGGACUGCAAGGCUUGAGUGCGGCAGAGGAGACUGGAAUUCCUGGUGUAGCAGUGAAAUGCGUAGAUAUCAGGAGGAACACCGAUGGCGAAGGCAGGUCUCUGGGCUGACACUGACGCUCAUGCACGAAAGCGUGGGGAGCAAACAGG